Acanthosepion pharaonis is the source of this 112-nucleotide non-coding RNA. Lineage: Eukaryota; Metazoa; Mollusca; Cephalopoda; Sepiida; Sepiidae. The record is from the annotation of a GenBank genome assembly.
UUACGGCCAUAUCACGUUGAAACACCCAUUCUCAUACGAUCACCGAAGUUAAGCAACGUCGAGACUGAUCUGUACCUAAAUGGGUUACUGCUUGAGAAUAUCGUGUAGUGUA